This 299-nucleotide long non-coding RNA is filed under the name Zea mays. RNAcentral describes it as "long non-coding RNA (ZMAY_LNC004602)". The record is from RNAcentral. Lineage: Eukaryota; Viridiplantae; Streptophyta; Magnoliopsida; Poales; Poaceae.
GGCAGCUUUGUCGAUUCAGGGAACAAGGUAUACGUGGGGAACCUUGCAUGGGGCGUUGACAACUCGACUCUGGAGAACCUAUUCAGUGAGCAAGGACAGGUGCUGGAUGCUAAGGUCAUCUACGACAGGGAUAGCGGCAGGUCAAGGGGGUUUGGUUUCGUCACCUAUGGCUCUGCCGAGGAGGUCAACAAUGCCAUAUCAAACCUUGAUGGCAUCGUAAGUUUGUUCUGUGCCAUUUUGAUCCUUUCGCGUGUCUUGUACAAUGUUGUACGUAGAGGAUGUGCUAAUCUGAAUGUUUU